Molecule: ribosomal RNA, 460 nt
Filed under: uncultured bacterium
Lineage: Bacteria
Description: partial 16S ribosomal RNA
Rfam family: Bacterial small subunit ribosomal RNA
Source: RNAcentral
CCUACGGGAGGCAGCAGUGAGGAAUAUUGGUCAAUGGCCGUAAGGCUGAACCAGCCAAGCCGCGUGAAGGAAGAAGGAUCUAUGGUUUGUAAACUUCUUUUAUAGGGGAAUAAAGGUAUCCACGUGUGGAUAUUUGCAUGUACCCUAUGAAUAAGCAUCGGCUAACUCCGUGCCAGCAGCCGCGGUAAUACGGAGGAUGCGAGCGUUAUCCGGAUUUAUUGGGUUUAACGGGUGCGUAGGUUGUUUUUUAAGUUAGCGGUGAAAGUUUGUGGCUCAACCAUAAAAUUGCCGUGGAAACUGGAAGACGUGAGUGUGUUUGAGGUAGGCGGAAUGCGUGGUGUAGCGGUGAAAUGCAUAGAUAUCACGAAGAACUCCGAUUGCGAAGGCAGCUUACUAAGCCAUAACUGACACUGAAGCACGAAAGCGUGGGGAUCAAACAGGAUUAGAUACCCUUGUAGUC